This 497-nucleotide ribosomal RNA is filed under the name uncultured bacterium. RNAcentral describes it as "partial 16S ribosomal RNA". It matches the Rfam family "Bacterial small subunit ribosomal RNA", at positions 28 to 507 of the family's 1533-position model. The record is from RNAcentral.
GAUGAACGCUGGCGGCGUGCCUAAUACAUGCCAGUCGAGCGAACGGACGAGAAGCUUGCUUCUCUGAUGUUAGCGGCGGACGGGUGAGUAACACGUGGAUAACCUACCUAUAAGACUGGGAUAACUUCGGGAAACCGGAGCUAAUACCGGAUAAUAUUUUGAACCGCAUGGUUCAAAAGUGAAAGACGGUCUUGCUGUCACUUAUAGAUGGAUCCGCGCUGCAUUAGCUAGUUGGUAAGGUAACGGCUUACCAAGGCAACGAUGCAUAGCCGACCUGAGAGGGUGAUGGGCCACACAAGGACCAAGACCCGGUCGAGAGGCCUACGGGAGGCAGAAGCAGGGAAUCUUCCGCCAUGGGCGAAUGCCUGACCGAGCAACGCCGCGUGAGUGAUGAAGGCCCUCGGUGCGUAAAGCUCUGUUAUGAGGGAAAAACAUAUGGGUAACUAACUGGGCACAUCUUGACGGUACCUAAACAGAACGCAACGGCUAACUUCGUG